CGCGUAGGCGGCCAUGCGUGUCUUCCGUGAAAUCCCUCGGCUUAACUGAGGACGUGCGGAAGAAACUGCAAGGCUUGAGUCCGGGAGAGGGGGGUGGAAUUCCCAAUGUAGCGGUGAAAUGCGUAGAUAUUGGGAGGAACACCGGUGGCGAAGGCGGCCCCCUGGACCGGUACUGACGCUGAGGCGCGAAAGCGUGGGUAGCAAACG
Molecule: ribosomal RNA, 207 nt
Filed under: uncultured bacterium
Lineage: Bacteria
Description: partial 16S ribosomal RNA
Rfam family: Bacterial small subunit ribosomal RNA
Source: RNAcentral